UUAAUUGCGCUUCUUGAAUUUAAGAGGUUAAAUGAAGAUCAAUAAUGCUUAGCACCUCCAUUAUUGGUACAUCUACCUUAUGUGUGAGGCGAAAGUAAACAAACGUUUGUGUGGUUCGUUUGAGAGUGGCGUCCAUCCGUACUCCGUCAUCAAAGCAAAUUUAUGUUAUUUGAGAGAGCCUUGCCUAAUACUCAGAGAGAUUCUCAGCAACGGUACAUGGGAGUUUUAGCACACAAAAAAGAAUGGGUGCAACACAAUUCAUAUUGCACUAGCACGUCUCUUUCAAAUUGAACGUGCUGUCUCCCGGCAGCGCGUGCUGCACCGAAAGAGUUUUGAGUCGCACCCUAUCCCUGGUUUGCUCUCAUUGAAUGAGAUUUUAAUGAGAGAGGCUAU
This is a long non-coding RNA of Aedes aegypti (yellow fever mosquito), 393 nucleotides long. RefSeq lists it as uncharacterized. The transcript has 2 exons. The record is from RefSeq and is a predicted model, not a curated record. Lineage: Eukaryota; Metazoa; Arthropoda; Insecta; Diptera; Culicidae.